This 979-nucleotide unclassified non-coding RNA is filed under the name Hevea brasiliensis (rubber tree). The record is from RNAcentral. Lineage: Eukaryota; Viridiplantae; Streptophyta; Magnoliopsida; Malpighiales; Euphorbiaceae.
GAUUAACUGAAAUCAGGCUUUAUUUAGCCAACACAUUUUGAAGCAUGGGAGCUCUAUUUGUGUCCUUUCAAAUUUCACUGGAGGAAUAGAUAAUACAUUUACACUGCACAUGUUGUCAACAAUGGUAGAUUUAUUUGGUAAUUCAGUAUUCCAGCCUGGUAAAUCCAUUCUUCUUGUUUGAAGUAAGGAUUCUGUGCUAUUUGUAUACCAAAUGUGAGGAAUACCUAUCUGUAACUGUAACCCUGAAAUGAGUCAAUAGUGAAAUUCAAAAUUGGGUUGCAAAUAAGCCAAGCCAAGCAAAGUUGACUUUUGGCCUUUUCAAGCUUGGUCUGGUUAAAAAUCCAUUUAGGUUGUGAGCUCUAACAAGCUCAGUUUAAGUCUCUCAAAGAAGCUUGAGCUUAGUUUGAUCUUAGUUCACAGGCUAGCUCAAAUUUGUUGCAAGCUCUUAACUCAGCAAAGAAGUAGAACUAAGAUUGCCUAAAUACAGAAAAUUUAAGAGGUAUCACAAAACCUUAUGAAAAUUUUCAUGAAAAACUCAAAAUAAAAUAAACUUCUUCCUAUAAAUAAAAUAUCUUUCCUUUAUUAAUUAUUAUUUGAUCUAAGAAAAUAAGUAUGACCGAACUAAAUUUGUAUUAAACAAGCUUAGAUGCCAAUAAUAAAUUACUACAAACUGUUCAUGAACCUUGUUUGGGUAUGUCUUGUUGGUUAUACAAGUUUGAAAAAGUUCAUUAGCAUUAGAAAACAAAAAUAACUGCAUUUUCCUGAGUGGAGCUUUGAACUGUUCAAUAAAAUUUGGUUAAUUUGCAGCCUUGAUUUAGACCAAGACUCAAACUAUUGAAUUGCAUCAUGUAGUCCCAUAAUUUAUAGCACAUAUAUAAAUCAUAUCUAAUAGGAUGACUGUGGCUCCAGGUCAAUAUCUCUAAUAUACUUUGUUAUUUUCUUCUAUUUGUUUGCAGUAAAGCAUGAUUGUGUAUUUGGU